RNAcentral lists this ribosomal RNA (478 nucleotides) under uncultured bacterium. Its description in RNAcentral is "SSU rRNA". It matches the Rfam family "Bacterial small subunit ribosomal RNA", at positions 26 to 521 of the family's 1533-position model. The record is from RNAcentral.
AGGAUGAACGCUGGCGGCGUGCCUAACACAUGCAAGUCGAACGUCCUGUCUCGCAAGAGGCAGGGAGUGGCGGACGGGUGAGUACCACGUGGGUCAUCUACCGUGAGGUGAGGAAUACCGGCGAGAAAUCGCCGACAAGACCGCAUAGGCUCGAUGCAAGUCGAGCAAAGCUCUUUCGAGAGAGGGAGCGCCACACGAGGAGCCUGCGCCCGAUUAGCUAGCUGGUGGAGUAACGGUUCACCAGGGCGACGAUCGGUAGCUGGUCUGAGAGGACGAUCAGCCACACUGGGAUUGAGAACGGCCCAGACUCCUACGGGGGGCAGCAGUGAGGAAUUUUCGUCAAUGGGGGCAACCCUGAACGAGCAACGCCGCGUGCAGGAAGAAGGUUUUCGGAUCGUAAACUGCUUUUCUCGGGGUAAGAGAAUGGACGGUACCCGAGGAAUCGAGCCCCGGCUAACUACGUGCCAGCAGCCGCGGU